Elaeis guineensis (African oil palm) is the source of this 841-nucleotide RNA transcript. RefSeq lists it as uncharacterized. The record is from RefSeq and is a predicted model, not a curated record. Lineage: Eukaryota; Viridiplantae; Streptophyta; Magnoliopsida; Arecales; Arecaceae.
UACUAUGGAAAGCAACUGGAAUGGGAGCUUAUAACAUUUCUUUGGGCCCGACGUUUUUGACACGCGCGGCUUGGAGUGGCCCGCCAUAAUCUGAGCUCCCUCGCUUUCCCGCGCCCCACACCCCGCCCGUAACCAUGAAGCGGAUCGCCGAAGCCUACCAUGCCAGCGACGGCAAGUCCACACUCACCGUCAUUGGCUCCGAAAUCGCGAAACGUCGGGCUGUUGGGCUGGUGGAUAGGAUCACCCACAUCUCCUUCACCCUGGACGACGGCAUGGCCCGGAUUGACAUAAAUACAUGGAUAAAUGAAGUCUCAGAUGCGAAUGGAAGUGGCUACCAUCUAGUAAGCGUUGUUGAUUGGUGCAUUUAAUUGAUUGGUUGCCGAUAUCUACUUUCUUGAUCGUGUUUUGAUGGAUUUGCACUGUUUGGGUUUUCUUUGAGCAAUAAUAUUAAAGAGAUGAGUCAAUGCUCAUUUGAAGGGUUUCAGGGUAAAAGACAUGCCUUCUUUGUCAGUGAGUGCACAUAUAUACAUGUCAAAAUGCUGGAGCGAAGGCACUUGCAUGUAGAGAGGUGCUUUAUAUGUCGUGCACAUAAGAGGUACAGAAAGGAGUUCCAGCUGAAAUCCAGACAAAUCCAAUCAUGGGAACCACUUUUUCUAAUGGAGUGAAAAGAUAUCAUACUCUUCGUACCAAUCAAGAAUUUUUUGGACGGUUGUCAUGCAAAAACAACACGGCACCGAAAACGUUAUUAAAAGGAAUUCUUGGUGAAGCUAAAGCAGACAUUGCGUGGAUGUUUCCGUUUCUCGGGAAGAAAAGAAGAGGGCAGAAGUGUGCCACCGGAUGA